This 695-nucleotide ribosomal RNA is filed under the name Kocuria sp. mf3. Its description in RNAcentral is "bacterial SSU rRNA". It matches the Rfam family "Bacterial small subunit ribosomal RNA", at positions 56 to 763 of the family's 1533-position model. The record is from RNAcentral. Lineage: Bacteria; Bacillati; Actinomycetota; Actinomycetes; Micrococcales; Micrococcaceae.
UGCAGUCGAACGAUGAUGCCCAGCUUGCUGGGCGGAUUAGUGGCGAACGGGUGAGUAAUACGUGAGUAACCUGCCCUUGACUCUGGGAUAAGCCUGGGAAACUGGGUCUAAUACUGGAUACUACCUCUUACCGCAUGGUGGGUGGUGGAAAGGGUUUUACUGGUUUUGGAUGGGCUCACGGCCUAUCAGCUUGUUGGUGGGGUAAUGGCUCACCAAGGCGACGACGGGUAGCCGGCCUGAGAGGGUGACCGGCCACACUGGGACUGAGACACGGCCCAGACUCCUACGGGAGGCAGCAGUGGGGAAUAUUGCACAAUGGGCGGAAGCCUGAUGCAGCGACGCCGCGUGAGGGAUGACGGCCUUCGGGUUGUAAACCUCUUUCAGUAGGGAAGAAGCGAGAGUGACGGUACCUGCAGAAGAAGCGCCGGCUAACUACGUGCCAGCAGCCGCGGUAAUACGUAGGGCGCAAGCGUUGUCCGGAAUUAUUGGGCGUAAAGAGCUCGUAGGCGGUUUGUCGCGUCUGCUGUGAAAGCCCGGGGCUCAACCCCGGGUCUGCAGUGGGUACGGGCAGACUAGAGUGCAGUAGGGGAGACUGGAAUUCCUGGUGUAGCGGUGAAAUGCGCAGAUAUCAGGAGGAACACCGAUGGCGAAGGCAGGUCUCUGGGCUGUUACUGACGCUGAGGAGCGAAAGCAUG